CAUAUGGAACAAAUAUCUUUGUACUUCCUUAGGCACAACAAAUAUGACAUGAUCCCUUUUAUUAUUUUUGUAUCCCUGUGGAAAUGUUCAACACCAGAACUAUGAUUCAAUUUAAGAGCCUUUAACCUUAUUUCAUGUGAUUCUCUGCUGUUUGUCAUUAAGACACUUCCGAUUAAAGGUUUAUUGACUCAGUGGAUACUCUCUAUUAUAUAUUACUUUUUUAAAAGAGCAAAGCUAACUCAUUAGUUAGAAACCAGCAAAGCAUGCAAGUGCUUUGUUCAACUGACAAAAAGAGAGAGAACCAGUGGAAAUUUACUGCUGGAAAGUAUUAUCACCAAAAGAUAUUCACCGAGCUGACAAUUUUUGACCUUUCCCAUGUUCCUUCUGAAAAUAUUUGUGUUAGAAUCAGACCUUUCAACAUACCAAAUCGCAUCUGAUUGAUUUCCCUGUGAUUUUUCAAACUCUGGAAACUGAAGUACAAGUAAAAUGGGCAAAGUUUCUCUGAAUCUUCACCACAGACCCAUAGCCACACGAAGGAUCUGACUCUUUCUUUAACCCUGACCCCACCACCAACACUAUUAAGACUGUACUUAAGUAAUAAAACUUGUGUAACUCGUGAUUCUGAAGCCCUGAAGAAGUAGAGGCAAACAAUCAAGGGAUGUGACUAAUAUCACUAACAAUGCUAACAAAAAUAGGCUUCAUCUCUGACUGGAGGGGAAUGGCUGGGUCUUCUCUCUUUCCAAGGCAGGUUAACUCAAAUCCCUACUCCAACCAUGCAUUCUCUGUGGAGCCCCCAACCUUCCCUUGCUGCAGGAGCCUUGCUGUCUGCCAUCUAAAGACCUAACAUGAUGCCAUCCCUGGACGGCUCCUGCUUCCACAGCAUCUACCCUAGAUUUCUUCUCAAGACUUAUUAUUGCUGUUUCUGGGACUCAACUUGCCACCCCAUUAUCCUUCCUUCCAUCAAAAUGUCACUGCCCUCAAUGAGUGGGAAAAAUUCCCUUCUAUGCUCCCAGAUAGGGUGUCCUGUUUUGGAGUAUGGAUUUGCCCUUUUGAACCACAGGACCUUGCCAAGCAGACUAUCUGAAGGCUUAUAUGUAUUUGUUCCUCUGACAGGGGAUACUGCAGGACAUCCCUUCGGAACAAAGGACCCACUUUACAGCAGCUGCAGGCCUGAUAGAGCAACGGAGCAGCCUUGGGGAGGCACUGCUGAGGCACCACCUUGGAGAUGAUGCUCAGUGAGAAGGAUCAACAAGACUGUGACUUUCUCAAAAGCUUCCUGAGGACAGGAAGAAGCACCUUCAGAGAAGGAGCCUUAUGAAGUUUCCAACUCAUGAAAGGGUGUUAUUGACAGUCACAGUAAGACGUUUGGAAUCCACAUGUAAACUCUGUGAUGAACAUGGCCCCGCACAGAGGACCUGAGACAUUUUGAGGAGGGCCUUCUACGUUUCUUCUCCCAGCACAUGAGGCAAGUGAACCCCACUAGUGUAGUUCUCUGUCAGUAAGAAAGAGCACAAAGUCCUGUUUCUGAACUAACAUAAAAGAAUGGAUAAUAUUGCCAGUAAUCUUGGGAA
RNAcentral lists this long non-coding RNA (1571 nucleotides) under Homo sapiens (human). RNAcentral's name for it is "HSALNT0368615". Lineage: Eukaryota; Metazoa; Chordata; Mammalia; Primates; Hominidae. The record is from RNAcentral.